CAGUAGGUCCUGAACGAAUUGUGUCUUC
RNAcentral lists this non-coding RNA (28 nucleotides) under Cricetulus griseus (Chinese hamster). Lineage: Eukaryota; Metazoa; Chordata; Mammalia; Rodentia; Cricetidae. The record is from RNAcentral.